This 358-nucleotide transfer-messenger RNA is filed under the name Candidatus Brennerbacteria bacterium. It matches the Rfam family "transfer-messenger RNA". From Rfam's summary of the family: Bacterial tmRNA, also known as 10Sa RNA or SsrA, is named for its dual tRNA and mRNA-like properties. The record is from RNAcentral. Lineage: Bacteria; Candidatus Brenneribacteriota.
GGGGAUGUUGGGUCUUGAUAGAAUGCAAUCUGGUAAAUCUGCAAGCCGAGGCGCCUGAACUCGUCCGACCUUUGUCGGACUCCGACUACGGUCGGAGUUAAACACGGGCAAACAAAUUUAACUGCCAACAAUAAAGUUGCAGCUCCGGCUCUGGCAUACGCCUGAAGACCGGCAUCGGCCCCUGACGCCUAAUAGGGAACAACCGGUGUAAUAAAUUAGGCUCGCUCGCGGUGAAACGGUUCAAUAGCCGCGGGCCAAAUCAUAGAACCAUCCUGUUCUCGGUUUACCGGGAAAUAAGCUUGUAGACGAUUCAUUAGGUUCACUCUACACGCGAGUUCAACUCUCGCCAUCUCCACAA